AGUGAACGCUGGCGGUAGGCCUAACACAUGCAAGUCGAACGGCAGCACAGUAAGAGCUUGCUCUUACGGGUGGCGAGUGGCGGACGGGUGAGGAAUACAUCGGAAUCUACUUUUUCGUGGGGGAUAACGUAGGGAAACUUACGCUAAUACCGCAUACGACCUACGGGUGAAAGCAGGGGAUCUUCGGACCUUGCGCGGUUGAAUGAGCCGAUGUCGGAUUAGCUAGUUGGCGGGGUAAAGGCCCACCAAGGCGACGAUCCGUAGCUGGUCUGAGAGGAUGAUCUGCCACACUGGAACUGAGACACGGUCCAGACUCCUACGGGAGGCAGCAGUGGGGAAUAUUGGACAAUGGGCGCAAGCCUGAUCCAGCCAUACCGCGUGGGUGAAGAAGGCCUUCGGGUUGUAAAGCCCUUUUGUUGGGAAAGAAAAGCAGCAGGUUAAUACCCCGCUGUUCUGACGGUACCCAAAGAAUAAGCACCGGCUAACUUCGUG
RNAcentral lists this ribosomal RNA (492 nucleotides) under uncultured bacterium. RNAcentral describes it as "partial 16S ribosomal RNA". It matches the Rfam family "Bacterial small subunit ribosomal RNA", at positions 29 to 507 of the family's 1533-position model. The record is from RNAcentral.